Long non-coding RNA from Parus major (Great Tit), 564 nucleotides. RefSeq lists it as uncharacterized. Lineage: Eukaryota; Metazoa; Chordata; Aves; Passeriformes; Paridae. The record is from RefSeq and is a predicted model, not a curated record. The transcript is spliced from 3 exons.
GGUCGAUCCAGCUGGUCUGCUUGGAGUUGUGGUCGAUGUAGAAGAUUUUGCCGUCGUAAUCCCGCGCCUCCUCCCAGCCAUCGGGAGACUUAAUUUGAUGAUCCACUGGAAUGUCAUCCCCGAUGAAAUGUACAGCUGUUACAGCUCUAACUUGUACUAUCCACAAGUGGCUCUGAAACAGGAGCUGCAGCAAUCUCCCUGAAAAUUUCCAUAGUUCAGCUUUCACAGCUGGCACACAGAACUGACUACAGAAUGAAUUAUGAGACAUGCAUAGGAUAAAGUACUGAGCAAUUACAUGUUUUGAAUCAAGACAUACUCUGAACCUGAAAGUAAGUGCAGAGAAUGGUUUUAAAUUAGUGCUUGUCCGAUUAAAAGUUUAGAGUAGAAAAUGAAAAGUUUAGAAUGGAAAUGAUGUGAUACAAGGUUUGCCUCAAAGUUAGCUAUGGAAAUGUGAGUAACGUUUUCAUGGUAAAAUUCUCAAACUCACACCAAGCCACUUAUUAAACUAACUUUAGCAUUCAGUUCUGUUAAGUCUGAUUCAUACUGCUGAAGUUUUUGUGGAAA